AGUGGCCAAGUCUUUUGACCAACAUAUAUAAAUAUUGCAUUUCCAGGCAAUGCCUAGAAGUUCUGUACACGUUUUCAAACCGGAGAAAUUAUUAACUCCAACCAGUUCCGAUAUCUCUACAUUCCCAUCAUCAACAUCCAAAACCUGUGACCUUUUCAUCCAUUUUCACAAAUUUGACUGCAACCCUUAAGUGCCCAUCUAUAUAAGAAUCCAUAACCAUGGCUGCAUAUGCUUCUAAGAAAAACUUACAAGAGAAACAAAAGAGGAGAUAGGCAGCACAACUUUAUAAUCUAUAGUACUGAUGGGUUGUUUUGGCCAGCGUCAGCGAAGCUCUGAAAAGAAACAAAACCCAUAUCAGUCACCGGCCGGAGGACCUUACCCUACUCUCAAAGCUCAUGGUGGUGGAGAUAAAAAAAGCAAACGCAGCAAACGUAAACACGGUGAUGCAGCCGAGAGAGCAGAUGCUUAUGUUGAUGCUGCAGGCACUUUCGGUGAAGCCUGUGCUAGUUUUAUUCAAGCUUGUUGCGCAUGUUCCACUGACGGAGGAGACGGAGGAAAUGGAGGAGACGGAGGAAAUGGAGGAGAUUGAAUCUUGUCAUGCAAAAAUUUGUUUUCUUCUUUGUAUAUGCAUUGGUUGUGGUCUGACAAUUCUUUUUUUUUUUUUAAAAUAUUUGAUUUCAAAUAAAAUAGAUUCUUUCUUACUUGAAAUUAAAGAUUUUACAAUAAUAUAAUAUAAUUUUAUUAUAUUCAGUCAAUU
This 757-nucleotide long non-coding RNA is filed under the name Manihot esculenta (cassava). Its description in RNAcentral is "long non-coding RNA (MESC_LNC010746)". The record is from RNAcentral. Lineage: Eukaryota; Viridiplantae; Streptophyta; Magnoliopsida; Malpighiales; Euphorbiaceae.